AUUGAACGCUGGCGGAAUGCUUUACACAUGCAAGUCGAACGAUGAAGUCUAGCUUGCUAGACGGAAUAGUGGCGAACGGGUGAGUAAUAUAUCGGAACAUAUCCAAUAAUGGGGGAUAACUAGUCGAAAGAAUGGCCAAUACCGCAUCCGUCCUACGGGAGCAAGCUGGGGAUCGUCAGACCUGGCGUUAAUGGAGCGGCCGAUAUCUGAUUAGCUCGUUGGUGAGGUAAAGGCUCACCAAGGCGACGAGCAGUCGCUGGUCUGAGAGGACGACCAGCCACACUGGAACUGAGACACGGUCCAGACUCCUACGGGAGGCAGCAGUGGGGAAUUUUGGACAAUGGGCGAAAGCCUGAUCCAGCCAUUCCGCGUGAGUGAAGAAGGCCUUCGGGUUGUAAAGCUCUUUCGCAAGAGAAGAACACCUACUUAAUAACACUAAGUGAGGUUGACGGUACCUUGAUAAGAAGCACCGGCUAACUACGUGCCAGCCGCCGCGGUAA
RNAcentral lists this ribosomal RNA (500 nucleotides) under uncultured bacterium. Its description in RNAcentral is "partial 16S ribosomal RNA". It matches the Rfam family "Bacterial small subunit ribosomal RNA", at positions 30 to 523 of the family's 1533-position model. The record is from RNAcentral.